CUAGGACCUCAACCAAAGGGCGGCGUUAGGACAUCAGUUGGGGUCGCUUCGAGUGCGCCCAUUAGCUCAGCCUUGGACUUCGUCAAUCUCAUGUUCCUCUGCAGCGACUAGAAAAUGAUAUGCGGCCUUGUUGUGCGGCCAGUCACUGCUAGGUAGCCGCAGGGCGAUAGGCAAGGAGUGCGCGAGAACCACGACAAGUGCGCGUUGAUCCAUGUCCGAAGCGUCAGCAUGAUUGUCCACUUUCGCUGUCAACGAGGUCCUUGGUCAUGGCCACCGACGAUUAGACGCCGCAUUUAGCGUGAAGUCCCUGCAGCAGCCGAAUCUUUGCCUACCCUUCCCGAAUGUCGACCGACAGCGGAAGCGGUUGCCUUGCCUAGAGGCUCAAGGGCGAGCGUUGCUGGGGGCCACCAGCGCAGUCUCCCGCAGUCACUGCAGUGUCCCGUUUCCGUGAUCGAGGCGACACAAACUGGCGACACUUUUUUGAACUUUUUAUUACAAACUAUACUCUGCAUCUGAUAUCACUGCACAGUGGAGUGCAAAAGAACUGCUUGAGGUUAUGCCUGCCUGCACAAGGUGCACUACUUGUGAUGCUAACACGAAGGCUUGGAAGUUUCUGCUGUGAAGCUGCGAGUCGCUGCCGCUCGAGCAGUGAUGCUGCUUUAUCUGUUAUCUGUACGCAGUGCAAGUCCGUAUAUCUUGCCGAUACAUAUCGUUUCGAGGGCGCUGACUUGCGGCCAUCGUGCACAAUACGUGUUCAUUUAGAGAGUGUAUGCAGCGCCACGGUUUUUUCCACCACAUAUGAAGUGAUCAGCGAUGAAUUGCUCUCUUGGACAUUAAGUUGCUAACAGGUUCUUCGUUUUCUGUAGCUGUAUUAUGAUUUAGCAUUAUCCUAGAGAGAGAGAAAAAAAAACGCUCAGCACGGUGUGAACAAGAUUGAAUAUGGCGGACAUGGUUUAUUUGGCGCACUUAGCAUUUCAUACGGUGCACGGGUCCCACACGAAGUAAGCUAUCAUGACGCUGCGGCCACGUGCUAUAUGUGAAGCAUAUUCCGGUAAUGAUUAAAUUUCUGCGGACUAUCAAAGUUUCGUAGGCGCAGUUCUCCAUAACGGAUUACUUUACAACUUUGUUCUUGAUUUACAGAGGGUAAAAAAAAAAAAAAAAACAUUUGUCGCGAUUUCGAGCUCCUGCUGCGUGUUUGAAAGCAGGGGUAGCUUCACGCUACUAGAUUGCUUGACGGGUCAAACAGAGAAAUACAGUAUUUUUUGUCGCAACAAUAUGAAAUAGCUCGAUAGACAUAGAUAUGUAGGUUUUAUCAGUUAGGCAAACUCAAAAAGCAGUGCAGGUCACCUGAAAGUAGCACAAGCAUAAAGGUCAUCGUCGCAUCUCUGCUCUCCGGCUAUCAUCUGUUGUCGUCGGCGCUGCAUUUAGAUUGUAGGCCUCGAUACAGGUACAUAUAGUGCACUUGCGCAAAUUACGCUGAGCCAUUGACUCACUAGCGGAAAGAUGCCCCAUGCCAAGACACUCGUGAUAAGGCGCACCUUCACUAUAAACGGUCUCUACGACCACCAGAUUUUCUAUCACCGCAUUGCCAAGACAGUAGUGAUGUUAGCAUGAAUUUCACACAUCGCCCUUCGAUCACCGCGAAUAGAACUUAGAGAGGUUAGUACUUCUGUUCAGCACUUGCUUAUGCUACCACAAGUAGCUCAGUCACCGAUUAUACGAUCAUCUCACGGUACCACGGAGAACUAUUCUUCGAGCCAGCUUGCUCAAACUUCUUCCAAUGGGUUAAAACAUCGGAUUUCAAAAUCAAAACGUAUUUCCAAGAAGCACCGAGAAGUUACUAGCUCUAUUCAAGUAUGAAGGAUUAGGCACGCGUCGUGCAAAGAUAUUAGAGUGCCGGCAACUCCAUUAUGCGGCAACUGUUUGUUCCACGUUUAACUGCAUUUUCGAACAUUAUUAUGUUUUUUUCUGCUAGCGUACGAACAGGGGCCACGUAUACCUUUUAGACUUAAGAACUCAGUAACGAUUCAUAUAACUGUGGAGAAUGCUCAGAGCGCACGCCAGGCUCUGAGCACAUGCCCGCACCCCUUCCCACUAUGUCGCCUGGCUGCCACAACUCCAACACAGAACUUCUUUCCGUAUGACAAUAUCUGCUUCUCGUAUCUGCUUUCCUACAGAUUAUACGCCUGCAAAGAGAUUACCACUUCUUCCUUGGUAGUUUGCUCACAGCCAUAAGUGUCAGGUGUGGAGGCGACGACGAGAGGGAGAUUAGGCGGCAACGUUUUAUGACGACCGGCCAGCCAUAAUGGCGAUUGGUCCCGGGCGCGGUACUUCAACGCCACCGCUCAGACCGGGCGUGCUUUCGUGUUAUCCGUGUGCGAAAUCUACACGCGGCGCUGUUCUUGCUCGGUGAUGCUGUGGUCGAUUGUAGCGCUGCCCGCCACACAGAGAUAAGUAUAAUUCUCAUCACCGGCUUUGAAGUAAAUUAAGCGGUUUUACGUGUCAAAAUCACCAUCUGAUUAUGAGGCGUCCGGUAGGGACAGACUCCGGAGUAAUUCGGACAACAUGAGGUUCUUUAACGUGCACCUAAUUCUAAGUACGCAGGUGUUUUCGCAUUUCGCCCCCAUCGAAAUGCGGCCGCCAUGGCCGGGAUUCGAUGUGCCGACCUCGUGCUUAGCAGGCUCUGGAGUAGCUGUCUUUGUUCCUACUUUACAAUUCCUGCAAAAUUCAUCUUACACUGAUAGUUAAACCACACCGGCGAUCUAUAGCAUAUAUGUAAUGUUCCAUUCAAAAACAACCACCAUAAAAGGGUGGAAGCUUGGGCGCGUUGGUAAUGGUAGUUCACGGUGGUGUUUUCUGCAGAGCAUGUGUGACUUUAGGACCUAAAGUACAGAGAAAGAGCGCUGACAUCCAACUGACUUUUAUUUCCCAGAAGAGCAGUAUAUAUAUAGGUGACUAAAACCAGGUAUAAAAAAAGACGAGCCAGUUCGCCUAUAGCACGGGCCCAUGAUUUACCCUCAACCCGGUCAACUAAUCACGGUCAAGUCGUGAUUCCCUUCUUGAUCAGUGCGUUGUACUGGCAAGGCACAGGUCCCAGUACUAGAAGCAGAACCAAUCUACAUUCUCGGUGACUGCUGCGUAAGCAUCCCUUCUAUAGCACUAUGACACCAAUCACGCCGCUUCCCAUUCUGAAUGGAGACGACUGUUCUUUGGUGACUGCGUAGCUUUUAUCCACUCUUUUGCUUACCCAUCGGAACGGCCGACAGUGCUUCGGUGACAACUGCGAUAGAAAUAAAAAAAAAAUUAAACUAUGGGGUUUUACGUGCCAAAACCACUUUCCGAUUAUGAGGCACGCCGUAGUGGAGGACUCAGGAAAUUUCGACCACCUGGGGUUCUUUAACGUGCACCUAAAUCUAACUACGCGGGUGUUUUCGCAUUUCGCCCCCAUCGAAAUGCGGCCGCCGUGGCCGGGUUUCGAUACCACGGCCUCGUGCUCAGCAGCUCAACACCAUAGCCACUGAGCAACCACGGCGAGUCAUGGAAAUGAAACCAUCAAGCUCGUUUUUUGCCGUUAUCCUCACUACGGCGCACAAAGACGGUCCCGCGCGACCAUGCUAGCGCGUCUAGAUGACUGGCGCUUUCGGAGCAGACGAUUUUGGACAUCUAGACAGCGCGGUCGUCACCCCAGAAGACGACGAAAGCGCUACUGGGCCUCCUGCUUCAAGUGACUUAGACGACUUUAACAGUUCCGUACUUUCAGUCGUGCUUGUGUUUUCUUUCUCCGCAUUAUUUUUCAUUUUUUGCUGCCUUUCCUUAUCUCUCCCUUAGUGUAGGGUAGCAAACUGGACUUUUCCCUUCCGGUUAAAGGGGUUGGGACACCAAAUUUUGAGGCUAUAAAAAGUAUGUUGUAGGCUGCUUCCGUAUGCAAGGACACCCAGAACGAGGUAUUGGACGCUGCAAACAUUUCAAAAUAAUUUUAAUUCAGCUCCAAAAAGUCAUUAAAAACUCCUCGUAGUCGAGACCCAUCGCUAGCGCGGCAGUUACUACGUCACAGAGGAGGAACGGAAAUAUUGACGUCAUAGCACACUAGCACAAAAACGUGACGUAUGAUGAGUAGCGAUGAAAUGCCGAUUACGGAGCCUGCUGAGCCGAGCGACCGAGGACCGAGCAUAGCCUCCACUAUGACCGAGCUACAGGCAUAUAGAAAUCCUUUCUUAAUGCAAAGAAGGGGUAAGGCGUGCAGGCACGGACACAAGAGGGGAGAAGUGGACAACACGAACGCCGCACGGCGGCCCGCGAACGGCAAACUGUGUGCGGCGAGUUGCCACACGUUUGAGUGUAACACUAGCCGGCCGACUCCGAAAGGGACCAGGAUAUAUGCGGCGUUCGUGUUGUCCGCUUCUCUCCUCGCAUAGUCGCAUAGUUCGGCAGCUCGGAGCCGUCUCUCGUUCGCUUGGCCUUUCUCAAUGUGAGGGCCUGUCCACGUUACCGGCACGGAAACUCGCCGCACGCCGUUUGCGGGCCCCCGUGCGACGGCGGUUUUGCUCGCGAACGGCGAGAUUUCCUUGCCGUAGAGAGGACGGGCCCGGGACCCAUUUGUGCGGCAGCCGUACGGCGAAGCGGCCAAUCAGCGACCGAGGAGUGGUCACUCUGGCACCGACGGCAGCUUCACCGCCUCUGAUCGUUCGGCGCCGCCGAUAUCGUCGCUAGGCCUUUUCCGGUUCACUUCAAAGCUAAAGCUUACGGCGCUUCGGAAUGAAUCACCGACUCUCACAAGCCGCAACAUUUUCUUACCGUUGUUGUCGCUCUUCGCAAUAAUUAUAAUAAUCGCGGCAUGCACUUCGAAUCGCCAGUUGUUGACCUUUGCUGGCAGAGCACGCGUAUGCGCGAGCCGACGACGCAGCAUAGUUUUACGUCACUAUUUUUUGUGGCCCACGUGACCAAGCCCUGUUGCGUUUCCUCCUCUGUGACGUCAUAGCAUCCCCCAGAGCCCAGAAACCGAAACCGAAAUCGCUCGGUAUAAUAACGCUAUUAUUAAAUUAUUUAUCGGAUAUAUAUGAAUCCCGCUGUGUGUAUCGUGCUCCCUGAAGCAUGACGCAACGUUUGAAUCAACAAACGCAUGAACGAAAAUUUUGAUGUCUCCACCCCUUUAACCUCUGUAUCGUUCCCAUCUCACUUAUCUGCCUCCCUCUCGAAAAAUGGAGUUAAGUGUGGGGUACUGCCACGAGAGGAGUUGCUGUCUCGUCGAAUGACUAUUGUAUGAACCGGCGUCUAGCUGCCAAGGUAAAGCAGGAACGUGCACUCGUGCACAUAUUUACGCCACCGGUGACACUGCUGGUGUCUACAGCGUGCAGCGUCGUGUGUAAAGCAAAACUGCACUAAUUCAGGACCGCCCUGGCUCAGUGCGAACACCACCUUGCCGCCCUCUUACCCUUCAGAGAGAAGCAAGUGUUAUCACCUAUCAUUUUACCAUUAUUACACCAUGGCCGUGGCCCCAUAUUUCUUUCUAGUUAAAAAAAGGAGGUAUAUACCGCACAGCUUUGAAAAAGCGCUCUGCUGUACCCGACAGUUUUGGCAUUAAUUACCUGGUCACUCGCCGGUGCGGGUUAGUAGCUAUGAGGAUGUGCUGCCGAGCAAGCCGUCAAGCGUUCGAAUGGCUGGUGGCCGCAUUUUGAUAAAUGCGAAAUGCUAAAUACAAUAGGGGGAUGGGAUGGGGGAGGGAUGCUUUUCUACAGAGCAUUCGGAGCACGUUAAAAAAAAUCUUAGGCAGUGAAAAUAAUUCCGGAGCCCUUCAUAAUACCUUAGCCCCCUGGGCUGCGUUGGGAUGUUGAGCCUUGCGAAUGGCUCAUGAAUAUUACGUGGUGUUGUCGAAAAGCGGGCAUUGCACACACGGAGAAUCGUUUCGCGUAAUUUUGGUAGCAUGGAAAUGUAUAGAAAUCCGAGAAUGAGGAAAUAGAUACACUGGAGAACGCAGUCUGUGUUGUUUCGGCUAGAGGGAAAACACCCUUCUACAGAUGUCUACGCGUCUGAAAUGGUGCGGCUCGUCUAUCGCUGACUACACGUUUCUCGACUAGCUGCGCUAUGCGGUUCAGCUUUGGCUGGGCUCACUACGGCUUAAUUUCUUCGACGGAGGACUCGCCUAUACCGUGUCCCCAGAGUCUCGCAUAACUGUAGCUUCGCUGCAUUCCGGUCGGCGAAUUCUCGGCUGGCUCCGCAUUUCCCGAGGAAGAACACACGCUCUCCUGGCCUUUCGCAGAGAGCUUUAGCAGGCCCCUACGAGCAGAAGACUGAUGCGCCGUAGUUUCUCGCGAGUGUAACCGGUCUACAAUGGGUUUAAAAACUCCAUUGCUUAUGGUCAAAGUGCGGUGCACACGACAACAGAGAGAGAGUUGGCCCACGCGUGGCCUACGAAACUCUCAGCUCAGCCGUGGCAAGAAUAUUGAAUAAAAUGUAUAAGCACUGUAGCACACUUCAAAAAAAAAGAAAA
Non-coding RNA from Dermacentor andersoni, 6487 nucleotides. Lineage: Eukaryota; Metazoa; Arthropoda; Arachnida; Ixodida; Ixodidae. The record is from RefSeq and is a predicted model, not a curated record.